AAGGUACAAAAAUGGUAAAGUAAAUAGUAAGAAGUUAUAAAAGAUUUAAAUAAAAUAGCAAGCACAAAAAUGAAAAUAUGAAGAUAUGUUAUUCCCAAGUAUGGAACUCAUCCCACUAAAGCAAGUGAAAUUGCUUCCUCUCCACUCGGCCACUUAUGUCCAUUUGUUACCUUAACAACAACUUAAAUAUAUAAAUAGGCAUAGAUAAAGAUAAAUUUAAAAUAAAAAAAAACUAGCUAAAACGAUAUGGGCCUGGGUCUGUGAAGAUUUGUCUCACCAUUAAUGGUCCAAACACAAAAAUAAGCAAAGGAGACUAACAGACCAAAACCCUAGUCGCCUGGCUGUUGGGUAUGGACUAUGAAGAUUCCCAACACUAGUAAUUGCUGUCAGUAAUUAAUAAAAGGUUAAUGCAAAAGAAAACCAACAGGUAGACUUAAAGAGGGCACAGUAAAAUAAAAGAUGACAUUAGAUGGAAUAAAGUUAUUCCCAAAACCAUUAAUCAUCACAGAGAAGUAAAGUAAACUUUUUAAACAAAAAAAAAUCAGAAGCUAUAACCAUGGACGAAAGAGGAAGCGGGAGAAACAGGGGAAUGAUCGUCCCUUUCCUUCGAUCAAAAGGUUUUUCUCUCUCAUAAACAAAACCGAUUCCCUUCUCCACUUACAGUUACAAAGAAACCUUCACAACACAAUUCAAACAUCGGCUAAGAGUAAGAUUCGAGAAUGGCACUAACCAGCUGCAACGAAGUCGGCCAACGAAUGAGCAGGUAAGAGUCUUGCUGAAUCUUCUUCACAAUGUUCCUUUCCUACGGGUUCGUCCGUUAUCAACCACCGGUCACUUUUGGUUAUUGAAAUUUUUAGGGUUUCUCCUCUCUCUUCAGUAGCCGUCAAUACUCUUCUCUAGGGUUUUUUCGUGGUCGUCCUCUGGUGGAGGAGGAGGCUCCUUUUAUACUCACCCUGUUUAGGGUUUUUGAGCUGGCUAUGGAGAUCAAAAGGGUAAUGCUUUUGGAAGUGCUUUAGGGUGCUCACAGUUUGUCUACAUUAUUCGGUGUUUGAUCUGGAACAGGUAAUACAAAUCCUAUACUUUCUUCUUUGAAUUUGUCCUAAUUCCUUUUUGGGUUAUUUGUUAACUUUUACCGCCGGUAAAUGGCUUUUUACCGCUGUGAAUUUUAUCGGAAUAUUCAUGUGUGGUUUGAUGCUUGCAGGAGAAAACGUUGAGCUUGCGAGCAUGGCUUUGAUUUUUUUUUUGUGUUGAUGCUGUGGUGUAUGGUCUUUGGAAAAAGAGUUGUGAGAUCCUGUUGAAACUAUAGCAACUUGGGGAGCGGACUGCUGUAUGUGGCCUCCAUUAGAAGAGGCAUUUGAACUAUUGUGUUUGAUUGAUUUCUGGCGAGUUGAUCCCAUAUUGUUUAAAUUUACAUGAUCUUCAACUUGUCACUGCGUCUGGGAAGAGGAAGAAGGCAUGCUUUCCAUACCCUGCGAUUGAGAAACAGAAGAUCCAUCUAACAAACCCUUUGAUGACUCCGAUUUCGUAAAAGCUCUAGCCGAAUCAGACAAUGUUGGCCAAGAGUGUGCAUCCAUAACCGGCCGUACCUCCGAAGCUGCACCAUUGGAGGAAGGCUUAAUCCAAGCAGGUCUUGUGCAUAUAUGUUCAUAGUUGAAAAAUGGUUUCCAAUUUGUCGAACAAAUUUUGAUGGCGGUUCACAAGGUGUCAUCUAUUUAGCUUUUGCUGCACCCAAAAUCCCCGUGCUACUGAAUAUAGAAGCCUUGCAAGAGUACUCAGUUGAAGGUGUGAGGUUUUCUAAUUUGAAUCUUUUCUCGGGCCUCAAAACAAUGAAAGUCGGUUGUUCGAG
Molecule: long non-coding RNA, 1846 nt
Filed under: Lathyrus oleraceus (garden pea)
Lineage: Eukaryota; Viridiplantae; Streptophyta; Magnoliopsida; Fabales; Fabaceae
Description: Pisum sativum (pea) long non-coding RNA (PSAT_LNC030607)
Source: RNAcentral